AUGCUUAACACAUGCAAGUCGAACGAGGUGCUUGAGUAGCAAUACAAGAGUAUCCUAGUGGCGAACGGGUGAGUAACGCGUUGGUGACCUACCCCAAAGUGUGGGAUAACAGUCCGAAAGGAUUGCUAAUACCGCAUGUGGUUAUUGGAUCUAGAAACUGAUAACUAAAGGAGCAAUUCGCUUUGGGAGGGACCUGCGUCCCAUCAGCUAGUUGGUGAGGUAACGGCUCACCAAGGCUACGACGGGUAGGGGACCUGAGAGGGUGGCCCCCCACAAUGGAACUGAAACACGGUCCAUACACCUACGGGUGGCAGCAGUAGGGAAUAUUGCACAAUGGGCGAAAGCCUGAUGCAGCAACGCCGCGUGUGCGAUGAAGGCCUUCGGGUCGUAAAGCACUUUUCUGAGAGAUGAGAAAGGACAGUAUCUCAGGAAUAAGUCUCGGCUAACUACGUGCCAGCAGCCGCGGUAACACGUAGGAGGCGAGCGUUAUCCGGAUUCACUGGGCGUAAAGCGCGUGCAGGCGGUUUGGUAAGUUGAUCGUGAAAGCUCCCGGCUCAACUGGGAGAGGUCGUUCAAUACUACCGAACUAGAGAGUAGAAGAGGAAGAUGGAAUUCCCGGUGUAGUGGUGAAAUGCGUAGAUAUCGGAAGGAACACCAGUGG
Molecule: ribosomal RNA, 661 nt
Filed under: uncultured bacterium
Lineage: Bacteria
Description: bacterial SSU rRNA
Rfam family: Bacterial small subunit ribosomal RNA
Source: RNAcentral